This 390-nucleotide ribosomal RNA is filed under the name uncultured bacterium. RNAcentral describes it as "bacterial SSU rRNA". It matches the Rfam family "Bacterial small subunit ribosomal RNA", at positions 28 to 419 of the family's 1533-position model. The record is from RNAcentral.
GACGAACGCUGGCGGCGUGCUUAACACAUGCAAGUCGAGCGGUAAGGCCCUUUCGGGGGUACACGAGCGGCGAACGGGUGAGUAACACGUGGGUGACCUGCCCUCAGCUCUGGGAUAAGCCCGGGAAACUGGGUCUAAUACUGGAUAUGACUCCAUGACGCAUGUUGUGGGGUGGAAAGCCUUGUGCGGCUGAGGAUGGGCCCGCGGCCUAUCAGCUUGUUGGUGGGGNGAUGGCCUACCAAGGCGACGACGGGUAGCCGGCCUGAGAGGGCGACCGGCCACACUGGGACUGAGACACGGCCCAGACUCCUACGGGAGGCAGCAGUGGGGAAUCUUGCGCAAUGGGCGAAAGCCUGACGCAGCGACGCCGCGUGUGGGAUGACGGCCUGG